RNAcentral lists this long non-coding RNA (3161 nucleotides) under Homo sapiens (human). Its description in RNAcentral is "HSALNT0122485". The record is from RNAcentral. Lineage: Eukaryota; Metazoa; Chordata; Mammalia; Primates; Hominidae.
GGAUGGCGCCGCGGGUGUAGCGGCUCUCUGCGCAGGCCGAGUGGGCCCAGAGAAGCGAGGAACUCCGCAGCUCGUCGACACGUCUCGUCUCCUGUCCCAAUUCAGGGCUUGGUGAGGUGACUCGCGGUCGCGGGUGACUCGCCGGCAGGACACUGCCUGGAACGCCUGGAGCGCCUCCCACUGCAGACGUCUGUCCGCCUCCAGCCGCUCUCCUCUGACGGGUCCUGCCUCAGUUGGCGGAAUGGCGGCCACGGGAGCCAAUGCAGAGAAAGCUGAAAGUCACAAUUUGUGUGUGUUGGUGGAAGCCCCUCCCGGAUGAAAGCCUUCAUCAGGUGCGUUGGUGCAGAGCUGGGCCUUGACUGCCCAGGUAGAGACUAUCCCAACAUCUGUGCGGGAACUGACCGCUAUGCCAUGUAUAAAGUAGGACCGGUGCUGUCUGUCAGUGGAUUUUGAAGCACCUUAGGAGAAAAGACACAGGAAAAUCAAAGGGGGGAAGAGAGAGGCGCAGUACAAAACUCAGAUAAGUGUCCUUAAAUUAGCUUAAAAUGUCCCUAUCCUCAACAGGGACAUUUUUUUUUUGUUUAAAAAACAAAGAUGGUUGGCCGGGCGCGGUGGCUCACACCUGUAAUCCCAGCACAUUGGGAGGCCGAGGCGGGCGGAUCACAAGAUCGGGAGAUCGAGACCAUCCUGGCCAACAUGGUGAAACCCCGUCUCUACUAAAAUACAAAAGAUUAGCUGGGCGUGGUGGUGCACGUCUGUAGUCCCAGCUGCUGGUGAGGCUGAGGCAGGAGAAUCGCUUGAACCCGGGAGGCGGAGGUUGCAGUGAGCCAACAUCGCGCCACUGCACUUCAGCCUGGCAACAGAGCGAGACUCCAUCUCAACAACAACAACAACAAACAAACAAACAAAAACCCCCACAAACAUGGCAAAGAAAGAAUGAGAUUUAAUGAGAAAGCAAAAGCUAACAAAUUGUUGAAUUGUAAGCCAAAGUCUGUUAGGCAGAUUUGUUUUAAAUACGUGGUCUUGCUCUCUGGGGUUCCAACUCUGUGCCAUUCUUUCUGCUAAAAACUGGGUUCUAGUGAUUCCUGCUCCCACCGAGGUGUUCAGAGCUCAGGGAAGAAGCCUGCAUGUGCCCUAGAGAAAGUUGAGCUUUGCCGCUGCUGGCCAGGCCUGUGUGUACUUGUUCCAGGCUGUCUAGGGCCUGGACUAUCUAGGAUUUAUAGCAAUUCUAGAAUUUAAGUGUCCUGACCUUGAAAGGGGACUUGCUUUAGACCCAAAUAUUUUGAAUAUGUUAUCUUGUCUCUUUUCUUUUUGUUAUAUAGAGAGAUUGAUGCAUAAAAUCUGUGUUUGUAUGACUGUAAUUCCAAGUUUAGCGAAAUUGUCCCUAGGACAACACACCAACGGCCAUGAGCUGUCUCGGUCCUGCAAGCUUAGUCUCCGAUGCUGCCCACCUGACACAGCUGUGCAUAGCAUGCUGGCCUCUGCCAGGAACUCUAGUGAAUGGUUCUUGAGUUCUUGCUCUGGAGUGAUUUUUAAAACAAUGAUCAGAUAAUUCUGGAGGGAGUAGUAUAGAUUUUGAAUUUUCCUCAAUUGCUCUGUAAAAAUGGAAAGAGCAACUAGGGAGCAAAACCAAAAACCACUGGACACAGUUGAUAAUAAAAGGUGAUGUGCUAUCCUCACAAACCCCAAAGUAUGAAUGGGUGGAGACAAAAAGCCUCAGGAUCUGGUUGUGUUGGCAGCUGCUCAGGGGGAAGCUCAAGGCGAUGGACAGACCUGAGAACAAGAGUCCCAGGCACUCCUAGGAAGGUGCAGGGGGACAUGGUGAAGAUGGCAGCUGACACUGGAGGGGGCCUGUGCGUCCCAAUGUGAGUGAUGCUGGAAUUCCAAGGGGCUUGACCACUCCAGGCCCUGUGGGUUCACCAAGGCAUCAGCCAAGCUCUCCUCUAGCUCCAGCCCCAGUGCUGGGAGAAGCUGCUGAAAUGAGACUCUGAAUUGCCCAGAACAGCCGCAGGAGUAGCAAUGGAAAGAGGAGUUCAGAUACAUGUGGGGAGCGAAGCAAAGGUCUUUGCAAUCGGCCAUGUUUUUUAAUGUUUCAUGAAAACAACUGACUUGGGAGCUCUGGAAAAGAUCUGACUUCUUGUUCCCUCCCACAUGUUUAGGAAAACCAAUUUUGCAUUAAAAUAAGUAUCAGAAAUGGAUCAUAGUUAUCUUAGUCCCUGCAGGUUGAUAGACAAGAUGCCAUUGACUGAGUGGCUUAUAAACAAUAGGAAUUUAUCGCGUAGUCUGGAGGCUGCGAAGUCCAAGGUCAAGGAGUCAGCAAACUUGGUGUCUGGUGAGGGCUAACUUUCGGAUUCAUAGAGCUCUGUUUUCUCCCUGUGUGCUCACAUGGCAGAAGGGGCAGGCAGCUCUCCGGGGUCCCUCUUAUAAGGGCACUAAUCCCACUCAUGCAGGCUCCACCCUCAUGACCUAAUCACCUCCCAAAGGCCCUGCUGCCUGAAACCAUCACAUUUAGGGUUAGGAUUUCAGCCUAUGAAUUUUGAGGGGGAAACCAGCAUUCAGUCCAGGUCCAUAACAAUGGUCAAAUCCCAUCUAAAAUUAUUAUAACACAAAGAAUAAGGGGCAGAGUAAUGUCCCUACAAACAGGAAACUACUCCAGGAAGGCACGCCCAGAACAUAGAAACUGGACCCUAAUAAUGCAUCAAUCUGAGAGGAAGGCCAGGUAGGUCAGGAGUUGGUCAUAGCUCACCUGGGUUUAGGGUGUGGGACUUCAUUAUACUGUUCUAGUCUGCCUUUUGCUGGUUUACUUUUCAAGUAUUUGCCUGAAAUCUUAAAUAUUAACAAGGUAUGAAACAGGGAUCAAUGAAACACAUCAUGGUAUAUGGUUCAGUGACAGACAACAGUGGGAAAUCGCCGUGAAUGGAAGCAAGAAAUAUGGGACAAAGUACUUGAAGGUCUGGAGCCCGGCACUGUGGUCAUAACAGAGCAGGCAGUGGAUACCUGCUUCAAGGCAGAGUUUGAGCAGAUUGUCCUGGGGAAGCGGGUCAUCCGGAAAACGGACCUUAACAAGAAGCUGGUGCAGGAGCUGUUGCUGUGUUCUGCAGAGCUGAGCGAGUUCACCACAGUGGUGGGGAACACCAUGUGCACCUUGGACUUCUAUGAAG